This 88-nucleotide transfer RNA is filed under the name Candidatus Cloacimonadota bacterium. RNAcentral describes it as "tRNA-Leu". It matches the Rfam family "tRNA". Rfam says of the family: Transfer RNA (tRNA) molecules are approximately 80 nucleotides in length. The record is from RNAcentral. Lineage: Bacteria; Pseudomonadati; Candidatus Cloacimonadota.
GCGAAAGUGGCGGAAUUGGCAGACGCGCUGGACUUAGAAUCCAGUCCCGAUUUUCGGGAUAGGGGUUCAAAUCCCCUCUUUCGCACCA